Long non-coding RNA from Cyprinus carpio carpio, 1575 nucleotides. The record is from Ensembl. NCBI's taxonomy places the organism in Eukaryota, Metazoa, Chordata, Actinopteri, Cypriniformes, Cyprinidae.
AGAUAUUAGCUCAAUGACAGGAACAAGACUAAGUUUAUUGAACCAGUGGCAGGAUUAACACAAGGCAGUAUAGAUGAAAGUGAAAGUAAUUUUCCUGGCUUAAUAUAGAGCUGCUCUCAGAAGACAAGACAUUCCCUGAAAAACUUUCAGAAAAAGCUAUAGGGACAGUAAAAAUAAAUAGACAUAUUUAUUAUUUAUCAAUGGAUAAAGAGGAUCAGUUUGAAUUUAAGGCCACAGAGAUCCCUCAAAAGCCAUGCACAGACAUGCUGAAGGAGGCCUAUCUGAACCUGCUCUCUCUGCGCCUGGAAUUCCAGCGUGAACAGAGCACUCCGGAGGAAGGAGCUUUCCAAACGAAUCUGGUUAAUAAAGAGAAAGACCUCAGUCUGCUCUAUGGAGCACAAAAUGUUUGUUAUUGUACACAGCUCCAGUGCUCUGCCCUCACGCAAUAAAGAUCUGCUGGUGUAUGUAGCACACAUUAUCCUGGAGGAAGAGAAGAGGCAGGGAGAGCCAGGAGCGAUGCAGGGAUGGAGGGAAGCAUGGAGGGAUGCAGUACUAAACGGGGUUCAAGAUACACUGGAGAAAGUUCAUCUGGACAGCCAUGAGCAGAACGCUUCCUGGCUGGCAGUGCAUCUGGGGCUUCUGGGUAAAGCUGUGGAGGAGGAUUUAGAGAGAGUGAAGACUGAACAUCAGACUUUAUUGUGUUUGAAACCUAUGUGUCCUGCUAUCAUGAGGCUGUAGGAGAGCAUCUAAAGAGACUUCUGGAAAAGUGAUCUGAGAGUCCAUGAGAGUGCCCUUAUAAUGGCAGAGGACCGGAACAAAAUAAAAACUUCUUACUGUGAUUGCCAAUUGAGAUUCUCUUGGCCAUUCGGAUGCUUCGGGAACCAUCAGGAACUAUAAACAAUUGCAUUAUUUUAUGAGGCUACUUGUGCUAUUUGCCUCUAACCAUCCAUUAUUUUUUUAGCAAGAAUUUAACCAUUUAACUAUUAUUGUGCAGCCUUAUUUUGGUGUAUGUUUUGGUUGUUUGUACGUAUAUUUUCCAACAGAGGGAGACAUUAAACUAUAGAUGCAAAUUUCGCAUUUCCUCCAUAUUGCCUAAUCAUGCAUAAAGAGACUUGGUGGAUUCAGUCUAUCUACUGUUAUAUCAAUCAAUCAUCUAAAUGUGAAUUAUAAAACACAAUGCUGGACAAAACUGAGUGUGUGCUGUGCAAUAUUAACUCCAGGUGGACUCAGCUCUUGCAACAAAACCUAUUGGUUGGUUAUUCAUAUUUUGUCCCUCCCUCUUCUCUUGUUUAAUGCAAAUUUAAAAUUUUGCCUAAACCUAACAUUCUCUCUGAUUUUUAUCAAUGAACAAAACAUGUAGAUAAAAUUCAUUUUCACCGCUACAGUGUGUUAUUGAACAGAUAUUUACUUUUACAUACUUUCGCAAUGUUUUGGGGAUAUUUAUACAGAUAUUGAUGUGAGAUGCCAUCUUUGUUUACAUAAUCAUGUUUGAUUUUGUUUUAAUGACUUAACUAUAUGAGGUGGUGAAUUUAUUAAUGAAAUAAUUAUUAAACAUUUUACACAUUUCCACAUGCA